AUCGUAACUCCUACGGGAGGCAGCAGUGGGGAAUAUUGCACAAUGGGGGAAACCCUGAUGCAGCGACGCCGCGUGAGUGAAGAAGUAUUUCGGUAUGUAAAGCUCUAUCAGCAGGGACGAUAAUGACGGUACCUGACUAAGAAGCCCCGGCUAACUACGUGCCAGCAGCCGCGGUAAUACGUAGGUGGCGAGCGUUGUCCGGAUUUACUGGGCGUAAAGGGAGCGUGGGCGGAUUUUUAAGUGAGAUGUGAAAUACCCGGGCUCAACUUGGGUGCUGCAUUUCAAACUGGAAGUCUAGAGUGCAGGAGAGGAGAGUGGAAUUCCUAGUGUAGCGGUGAAAUGCGUAGAGAUUAGGAAGAACACCAGUGGCGAAGGCGACUCUCUGGACUGUAACUGACGCUGAGGCUCGAAAGCGUGGGGAGCAAACAGGAUUAGAAACCCGAGUAGUCCUAGAGC
Molecule: ribosomal RNA, 456 nt
Filed under: uncultured bacterium
Lineage: Bacteria
Description: bacterial SSU rRNA
Rfam family: Bacterial small subunit ribosomal RNA
Source: RNAcentral